CCUACGGGUGGCUGCAGUAGGGAAUAUUGCUCAAUGGGGGAAACCCUGACGCAGCAACGCCGCGUGGAGGACGAAGGUUUUAGGAUUGUAAACUCCUUUUGUCAGGGAAGAUAAUGACGGUAUCUGACGAAUAAGCACCGGCUAACUCCGUGCCAGCAGCCGAGGUAAUACGGAGGAUGCGAGCGUUAUCCGGAUUUAUGGGUUUUAAAGGGUGCGCAGUCGGAGGUGCAAGUCAGCUGUCAAAUUGCGGGGCUCAACCCCGUACUGCAGUUGAAACUGCAUACCUUGAGUGCGCGAGAGGUAUGCGGAAUGCGUGGUGUAGCGGUGAAAUGCAUAGAUAUAACGAAGAACUCCGAUUGCGAAGGCAGCAUGCCGGCGCGCAACUGACGCUGAUGCACGAAAGCGUGGGUAUCGAACAGGAUUAGAUACCCGGGUAGUC
RNAcentral lists this ribosomal RNA (439 nucleotides) under uncultured bacterium. RNAcentral's name for it is "partial 16S ribosomal RNA". It matches the Rfam family "Bacterial small subunit ribosomal RNA", at positions 338 to 795 of the family's 1533-position model. The record is from RNAcentral.